RNAcentral lists this ribosomal RNA (488 nucleotides) under uncultured bacterium. RNAcentral describes it as "bacterial SSU rRNA". It matches the Rfam family "Bacterial small subunit ribosomal RNA", at positions 26 to 507 of the family's 1533-position model. The record is from RNAcentral.
AGGAUGAACGCUAGCGGCAGGCCUAACACAUGCAAGUCGAGGGGCAUCGCGGUGCAGCAAUGCACUGGCGGCGACCGGCGUACGGGUGCGUAACGCGUAUGCAACCUGCCCCGCACCGGGGGAUAGCCCGCCGAAAGGCGGAUUAAUACCCCAUGGUCCCGGGGGCCCGCAUGGGCAUCCGGGUAAAGCCUUGGCGGUGCGGGAUGGGCAUGCGUGCCAUUAGCUGGCUGGUGGGGUAACGGCCCACCAGGGCAACGAUGGCUAGGGGGUCUGAGAGGAUGGUCCCCCACACUGGUACUGAGACACGGACCAGACUCCUACGGGAGGCAGCAGUGAGGAAUAUUGGUCAAUGGGCGGAAGCCUGAACCAGCCAUGCCGCGUGCGGGAUGAAGGCCCUACGGGUUGUAAACCGCUUUUCCCCGGGAAGAAUAACCCCGAUGAGUCGGGGGAUGCCGGUACCGGGGGAAUAAGGAUCGGCUAACUCCGUG